Molecule: ribosomal RNA, 480 nt
Filed under: uncultured bacterium
Lineage: Bacteria
Description: SSU rRNA
Rfam family: Bacterial small subunit ribosomal RNA
Source: RNAcentral
AGGAUGAACGCUGGCGGCGUGCCUAACACAUGCAAGUCGAACGUCCUGUCUCGCAAGAGGCAGGGAGUGGCGGACGGGUGAGUACCACGUGGGUCAUCUACCGUGAGGUGAGGAAUACCGGCGAGAAAUCGCCGACAAGACCGCAUAGCCUCGGUGCAAGUCGAGGAAAGCUCUUUCGAGAGAGGGAGCGCCACACGAGGAGCCUGCGCCCGAUUAGCUAGCUGGUGGAGUAACGGUUCACCAGGGCGACGAUCGGUAGCUGGUCUGAGAGGACGAUCAGCCACACUGGGAUUGAGAACGGCCCAGACUCCUACGGGGGGCAGCAGUGAGGAAUUUUCGUCAAUGGGGCAACCCUGAACGAGCAACGCCGCGUGCAGGAAGAAGGUUUUCGGAUCGUAAACUGCUUUUCGUCGGGGAAGAGAACGGACGGUACCCGAGGAAUCGACGCCCCGGCUAACUACGUGCCAGCAGCCGCGGUAA